GACGAACGCUGGCGGCGUGCCUAACACAUGCAAGUCGAGCGGAGAUAGACUGAUGGUAACUGAAGUUUGUCUUAGCGGCGGACGGGUGAGUAACACGUGGGCAACCUGCCUUGGAGUGGGGGAUAACACCGGGAAAUCGGUGCUAAUACCGCAUAACAUACACAAACUGCAUGGUAAGUGUAUCAAAGGAGCAAUCCGCUUUAAGAUGGGCCCGCGGCUGAUUAGCUAGUUGGUAAGGUAACGGCUUACCAAGGCGACGAUCAGUAGCCGACCUGAGAGGGUGACCGGCCACACUGGAACUGAGACACGGUCCAGACUCCUACGGGAGGCAGCAGUGGGGAAUAUUGGUAAUGCGCGAAAGCGUGAACCAGCAACGCCGCGUGUGCGAUGAAGGCCUUCGGUUGUAAGCACUUUUCGGUAGGAAGAGGAAGGGACUGUACGUCCCCUAGGAAUAAGCCUCGGGCUAACUAAUGUGCCAGCAGCCGCGGUAAGCUCGUCGUCUA
This 503-nucleotide ribosomal RNA is filed under the name uncultured bacterium. RNAcentral describes it as "bacterial SSU rRNA". It matches the Rfam family "Bacterial small subunit ribosomal RNA", at positions 28 to 537 of the family's 1533-position model. The record is from RNAcentral.